This 12043-nucleotide long non-coding RNA is filed under the name Homo sapiens (human). RNAcentral's name for it is "HSALNT0027931". The record is from RNAcentral. Lineage: Eukaryota; Metazoa; Chordata; Mammalia; Primates; Hominidae.
GAUGGUCUCAAUCUCCUGACCUUGUGAUCCUCCCGCCUCGGCCUCCCAAAGUGCUGGGAUUACAGGCGUGAGCCACCAUGCCCGGCCGUUAUUUUUAAACUCUCUAACAAGAUCUCCUUCCUGAUGGGAAGACUGAGCUAAGCAGUUUCAUUUCUUCUUUUCUUGAAUAAAUCCACUGGCAAAUCUUGUAUGUGUGAUCUCUAAACCUUGGGUUAGAUGAGGACCUUGCAUUUAUUCUUUGGAUGAGAAAAAUAAAUGGCAAAGAUGGGCCCCAGAUAGACAUGUGGGGUAUGUUAUACAUAUUUCUGCUUGUUUGUGUAAUAAGCCAUUUAGGAACCAGACAGAUAAAGGGUAUGUGUAUUUUCCACAGAUUAUUUCCAGAUUUUUACUCAUUUAAUAGUUUCCUAUGAGUGUCCAUGGUGGGGUGGCUGGAGAGCCAGUUUUGACUUUGACCCAAAUGGCGCUUAAACCUUUUCAUUAAAAUUCUGCUCUUCUAAAAAAAAUCAGAGGAGUUUGAAUUGUCACGUCAAUGAAACAAGACCAUUCAAGACUAGAGAAAAGAGACAUGGGAAUAUCCUGUGUGGGGAGAGAGAAAAGCAUCACAGGUAGUUGGGAUAAGGUAGAAUUGCAGGUGAGAACUACCUUUGUUAAGCUUCUUGAUCCCAAGGCAAGAAGGAAAACGAGCUGGUUGUAUAAUUGUCUACAUUGAAAUUACAUAAAUACAAUCAGCAAUGAUUUUAGAGAUUGUAUAAUUGUAUAUUUAGACAAAAGGGCUGGUAUGGAGGACAAGGAGCCCCACUGGCUUCAACACUCCCAUCUGCCCCCAUCCUGGUAUAGGGCUUCACGAAAAAGUGUAAGUCACUUUUCUCAUUUAGCCACUUCAUUUCACAGAUGGGGUAACUGAGGCCAAAGAAGUGAAUGCAUUUGCUCAAUGUCAUUCAGUUAAUUGGUGGGUGAACUGGGACUAAAUUCUGAGUCUUCUGCCUGCUUUUCUAUCUAUAGUCAUUUUAUGAGUCUUCAAGAAAAUCUAUUAUUUAAGGUUUGAUUCUUAUUAAAUCCACUAAACAUUGGCCAAUCUCAUCAUUCAGAGGUAGGUCCUAUUAACAUUCAGACACACACAAACGCAAACACAAUUUAUAGGUUAUAUAUCCAUUUAUUUUUGCCUUUCUUGACUUAACAUUAUAUCAUAGUUUCUCAUAUUGUUACACAUUUUUCUUUGACUGUGAUUUUUAAUAUUUAUAUCAGGUAUUGCUGGGUGUAGUGGCUCAUGCCUGUAAUCCUAGCACUUUGGUAGGCCGAGGCUGGUGGAUCACUUGAGGUUAGGAGUUCGAGACCAGCCUGGCCAACAUGGUGAAACCCCUUCUCUACUAAAAAUACAAAAAUUAGCCAGGCAUGGUGGCAGGCACCUGUAGUCCUAGCUACUAGAGAGGCUGAGGCAGGAGAAUUGCUUGAACAUGGGAGGCAGAGGUUGCAGUGAGCCAAGAUCGUGCCACUGCACUCCAGCCUGGGAGACAGAGAGAGACUCUGUCUCAAAAAAAAAAAAAAAAAAAAAGAUAUUACUAUAAGGAUAUAUCAUAUAAUAAACUAUUGGAAGGAUUGGCUGUCUUUUAUCCCCAGGUAAAAUCUGUUUAAAGACAUGCACAUCUGCCCAGCCUUCUGGGGGAAACAACCCCAGGAAAAUUUUCCAGCUCUGAAAGCUCAGCUCACCUUCCAUAUAGUGAUAUUUGAGAGGAUGACCUGUAGCUUCUGAAUUCCAGGGAGUAGCUUCCAUUAUUUCAAUACUUUUGGCCAAUGUCUUCCCACAGCUUUAUUUCCACAACCACGGCUUGGCUUGCUGUCUGGGCUGGAAGCACUCAGUGCUUCCUCACUCAGCUGAGGAGCAAGGGGAAAGCCACUGACUUAUCCAGCAUCAGUAGCGGAAUGUCCGAAAGAGUUGGGCAUUGACCAAAGAGGACAUCGAUUCUUUGGGAUUUAGAAGGGCUAACAUAAAAUCGAUUCCUACAAGACUAACAAAUUGGGAAAGAAUAAGGAAUGGUGUUCAGAAAGAUGACCUCAGUCAUGGCCAGGCCUGAAAGCACCUCCGAAUCAUCAGAGAAAAAUUGCACUGCUGCCAGGGUGGUUAUAAUGUCAGGUUCUGUUUAUGAUGUCUGGAUGCCUUGAAAAUUAAUCAUUUAAGAAAAAACAUUAUUUAUUUAUGACCCAUACUCUACUCCCCUGCUCUAUCCCUCCCCACCUCCUUAAAGGCAACACAUUUUGGCACUUUAAGUUGGUUUUUCCAUUUUCUAUAUGCUUCUAUUGGUAUUUUUAGAUUUAUUAAUGCCAGGCAUUGUGCAUAUUGACUGCAGGUGCGCUUCUGGUGGAUUACAUGUGUUACUGAUUCUUUUUGUUUUUUGAGACAGAGUCUUGUUCUGUCACCCAGGCUGGAGUGUGGUGGUACAAUCAUGGCUCACUGCAGCCUUGACCUCUUGGACACAAGUGAUCCUCCUGCCUCAGCCUCUGGAAUAGUUGGGACCACAGGUGCACACCACCAUGAAGGGCUAAGUUUUUUAUUUUUUAAAUUUUUUGAAGAGACGGGUUUUGCUAUGUUGCCCAGGCUGAUGUCAAACUCCUAGUCUUGAGCAAUCCUCCCACCUUGGCCUCCUAAAGUGUUGGAAUUACAGGCAUGUGCCACUGUGCCUGGCUGUAUUACAGAUUCCUGAUGGAGCACCAGAAUACAGAGUGAGAUAUUACAGAACUAGAAUCCAGGAAAGAAUAGUUAACCAUCACACGACUUGAGUAGACUUGAGGAGUUCAAUCUGUCAUAACUAUUCCCCUCAAUUUCUCUCUUUCUAUUCUCCCCAUAAUGCUCACUUUACAAUUUGAAGUUAAAUUGAUAGUAUUUACAUUUUUACUAUGAAAAUAUUGUUCACUGAAGAAACAAGUACUGUAUGAGUACCUCCCUUUUUAAAUAGAAUAUUUUUGUUUCUUUUGGAGCUAAUAAUUUUUUCAUUUUUUUCUCUUUUGACUUGAAUAGUACUACGUACAUAUUUUUCUGUUUAAUUGAGCUUGUUAAUCAUUUUCUUUUGCCAGUGCUUAUAUAAAGCAGAUAAUCUGCCAGUUGCAUUUUCCCACCUGUAAAACUCCCUCCCGUAGCGCUCCAUCUUCUGCUCCGGUUCUGAAUGACUGUUUUUUGAGCCUAAUAUGCAGCUGUCAUCCUGGGAUGUGGUAGACUGCUUGUUAAACAUAUUCACUGCACCUUCUUGCAUGGGGAUUAUAUUUCUGUGUCCCAUUGAUACCUGGCUUUGUCACGUAAUUUGCUUUGGCCAAUGAAAUGUAAGUAGAAGUGUAAGUAGUGUGUAUCACUCUGGAGAAGGAACUUUAGAACCAGGAAAUGGUUUAUCAUGGUCUCUUUUAUUUUCUGCCAUGACAGUUGUCAAUGUUUCAGAUAGAGAAUGCUAAGUCAAGUCAGAUCUGGGGUAAAGAGGACAUGGAGCAGAGCUAUAGCCAACCCACAAUGGACAUGUAACAAGAAGAGAGCCUCUGUAGUUGUAUGCUACAGCCUGAACUGGCCUAUCUUGUUUAGGCCACACAAUUGAUGAUUGUAGCCUUCCUGCUUUGGCAGUUGCUGUGUUCUGAAUGUUUGUGUCCCUCCAUAACUUGUAUGUUGAAAUCUAAUUCCCAAUACAAUGGGGUUAAGAAGUGGGGCCCUUAGCAGGUGAUUAGAUCAUGAGGGCAGAACUCUCAGGAAUGGGAUUAGUGCCCUUAUAAAAGGUCCAAAGGAGCUAGUUUGUCCCUUUCACCAUGUAAGUAUACAUAGAAGGCACCAUCUAUGAGCAAUGGGACCUUACCACCCAUUGAGUCUGUUGGUACCUUGAUCUUGGACUUCUCAGCCUCCAGAACUGUGAGCAACAAAUUUCUAUUGUUUAUAACUUACCAGUCUAAGGCAUUUUGUUAUCGCGGCCCUAACAUACUAGGACAGCUGGUCUGUUCCUAGCUUGCUUGCUUGCUUAUUGUUUAAUCUAUUGUUUUGAUGGAGCAUAACCUAUUCCAGCUUCCUAAGAAAUGGUGCACAGAACAUAAAACUUGUGAGUUCUUGCUUAACUAAAAUUUCCUUUCUUCUAUCUUCACAUUAUUUGGCUAGUUUGGUUGGGUAUAGUGGUCUAUGUUAAAAUUACUUUUAGAAUUUUGAAGAUGUGGCUUCUUUGUUUUCUAAUAUUCUGUGUUGCUGUUGAGAAGUCUGAUGCCAUUUUGAUCCAAUCCUUGGAAGAAAAUUUUAAUUUUUUUCCAUAGAGGCUUUAAAUUUUUUCCUUAUCCCAAUGAGUUGAAAUUUUACUCUGAUAUAACUUUCUAUGGCUGUUUUCUCAUCAUUUUUUUUCCUGUAUACUUUCAAUCCUGGAACUCGUGUUCUUUCCUUCUAGAAAAUUUUUUCAAAAAUAAUGAUUAUGUCUUUGAUAAUUUCUCCUCUCUGUUUUAUCUUUCUGUAAUUAGCAUUAGUCAGAUGUUAGAUAUUCUGGAUUGAUCCUGACAUUUCAACUUUUCUUUCCUAUGUUCCAACUCUGUUAUUUUAAAAAAAAAGGAUAUUUGAAGAUUCCUUAUUUUCUGGUCUUUCUAUUAAGUUUUCUAUUUUAGCUGUGUUGUCUAAUUCAUAGGAAUUUACAAGAGAAUACAGAGGAGAUGACUUUGGGAAUUUAAUUUAUGACGUUUAGAUUUAAAAUUUGCAUAAACCUUGAAAUUGCUGAUGUUGGUGUCUUCCACUUCGCAAUACCACCCCGCAGUUCACAGAUGAGAAUGAUAAUUUCCAGAAAAGAAAAUGACUUAAAGUAAUAGCACGUCCUCCUAAUUCUAGGUCAGCUUCUUUCCACCCCCAAUGUUGUGCCUUUUCGUCUUACUGUAGCUGAAACUUUAUUUCAAUUCUAAUAAAGGACACUUUUAAAAUUAGCUUCUGAAUGGAAGGAAGCAAUGAAGAUUGGUUAGGGCAUCAUUGAAAAGCAGGCACUUGGCCGGGUGUGGUGGCUUACGCCUGUAAUCCCAGCACUUUGGGAGGCCGAGGUGAGCGGAUCACAAGGUCAGGAGAUCAAGACCGUCCUGGCCAACAUUGUGAAACCCUGUCUCUACUAAAAUACAAAAAAUUAGCUGGGCAUGGUGGUGGGCACCUGUAGUCCCAGCUACUUGGGAGGCUGAGGCAGGGGAAUUGCUUGAACCUGGGAGGUGGAGGUGCAGUGAGCCAAGAUCGCACCACUGCACUCCAGCCUGGUGACAGAACAAGACUCCAUCUCAAAAAAAAAAAAAAAAAAAAAAGAAAAAAGAAAAGCAGGCACUUAUGUGGUGGUGAGCUAGCAUCACUUGGGGCUGAGAUGAAAAUCCAAUGCCUCUCUGGCUCUGACUCACACGGAAUCUGUCGAGUUGUUUCAUUUUUUUAGACAUUGGUUUCUUCAUCUACAAAUUGAGGAGGUGGGAGUAGGUCUUUGCUCUUCAAACUCUUGAGGUUCCAUGGGGUGCCUAGGGCCUUAAGGGCUUGGGGAGGGGGCGGAAUGAGGGAAAGGGAGGUAGGGCUCUGGGUCCUUGCUCAGCUUCACCUGAACAGUUCCACUUAGUCCCGUUUUAUGUAUUUGGUUUUCAUGUAGGCUUUUGUUGCUAAAAAAGGUUUUGUGACUAAAUGUUUGGGAAUCACUUCACCAACCUUCUGUAGGUUUUCUUUUGGCAUUGUACUUUUCCGGUACUCUGAUUAGAGAUGUUCUUUUAGGCUCUCAACUUUGACUGGCUGAAACUUAUAAGCCAUCAAGCUCUCUGGCGUUCCUAUAAAUUAGGAUGCAUGUGGAGGUAAUUACCAUUCUGGAAUUCUAAGCCCUGGAAUCCUGGUCAAUUCUUUUUUUAUUAUUUUAUUUAUUUUAUUUAUUUACUUUUCUGAGACAGGGUCUGGCUCUGUAACCAAGGCUGGAGUGUAGUGGCAUGAUCUCUGCUCACUGCAACCUCUGCCUCCUGGGCUCAAGCGAUCCUCCUACCUCAGCCUCCUGAGUAGUUGGGACUACAGGUACAUGCCACCACGCCUGGCUAAUUUUUGUAUUUUUUUGUAGAGAUGGGCAUUUUGCCAUGUUGCCCAGGCUGGUCUUGAACUACUGAGCUAAAGUGAUCUGCCCACCUCAGCCUCCCAAAGUGCUGGGAUUAUGAAUACUAGUCAAUUCUUAAACUGUCUUUCAAAUCAAUAGUCUCACUGCAGACACUGUCACUCAAUACAUAUUAUCAAUGCCAACACAAUGGGAAACUGGAUCCUGCCAUUUUCUUGAUUAGAUAGUAGAGACAGGCUGGAUCCUGCCAUUUUCCUGAUUAGAUAGUAGAGACAGGCUAAAGUAGAGUCUUAGCUGUCAUUCUGCUGUCGGGGUCCUGCUUCCCUCCACGGAGAAUCAAAGUCUGGAUGUCAGACUUUGUUCCCUUGGCUGAGGAGAGGGACAGAAGAGACCAGCUUGUAGUCCCUUGCCCUUGGGAAGGAAACUGGUUUUCUGCUCUGUUCAACCAUGUUUACUAAUCAUUAAAGGAAACAAUAGAUGUAGGCCAAAUGCUGGUAUCAGAUGAGAGGGUUGAGAGUGAGCAGAUCAGUGUCGGAGCCUGGGAUUAAGGAAGUCAAGGUCAGCAGUGGAUCCCUCGGAGGCCCAGAGAAAUGGCUUGGUUAGGGCACGUCUGCUACCUGGGGUGGGGGAGGCAGAGAUUCGCUUCAAGAUGAAUCGCAUUCGCCUUAGAAUUAGAAUGCCCUUCCUAGAAAGCCCUUAGAGAUUAUGUGAUUAAACCUCCUUAUCUUACACAUGGAAAAACUAAAACCUAUAGAAGGGACACCUCUUGCCUGUGGUCACCCACAAUUAAUGUUUUAUUCCUCCCAGUCCACACUUGUGCAGUCCUCACAUAUCUCUGAACAGGGACUGGGUACUUAAAUUAGGUAACUGGCAAGGAGGUUUUUUUGAGAAGGGAAGGUGAGGGAAUUUUUCGACCUUGUGCCAUUGCUUGAGAGGCAGAAGCCAACACACCAUUAGUUAAACCCAGACCAAAUUCAUCAGCUUGUGAGACUCUAGACCCCACACCUGUCUAAGGACUGCAAAGAGCAGUCAGUGUACAUAAGAAUUCCCUCCUGCCUCCUGUGAUUCUCAGCCCUCACCAGCCUGGGCCCAUUGGUAAAUUUAUCUUGAGUUAAAAAUACUGCUUCUACCACCAGCACACGCCAAAUAGAGUCCUUGAGACACCUAUGCACUGAAGCACCUACACGGUGUUUAGCACUGAUACGGUACUCUGCCCUUUCUGAGCCUGGUAGUCUGGCUGUCUGAUAGGAGCAGGGAACCCACAGAUAUCAUCUACUUCCGUAAAAUUCGUUCAAUUAAUGAGCAUCCACCGGGAGAAGAAGGAUCAUUUUCAGCCUCCCUGACCACAGGCUUUGGUUUCAGGACAAUGCAGACUGGGCAGCAGAUCAAAUAAAGCCAUCACCAGCGCAUAGGACAGUCUCAAGGGGGUUAACUGUCCCUGUCCUCUACAAUUGUUGCUGGGGAGCAAUUUGCCCUUGAAUCUUCCAUACUGUCCCUAAAUUGACAAUUUCAUUUCCUUCCAAUCCCGCCCCCUGCCCUGAAGAUCUGCUGAGGCUGCGAGUUCCAUGUGAGAAGGCAGGAGGAUAAUAGGGUUCUCUAGAGGGACAGAACUAAUAGGAUUGAAGUAUAUAUGAAGAGGAGUUUAUUAAAUAGUGUUGACUCACACGAUCACAAGGUGAAGUCCCACAAUAGGCCAUCUGGAAGCUGAGGAACAAGGAAGCCAGUCUGAGUCCCAAAACCUCAAAAUUAGGGAAGCCGACAGUGCAACCUUCAGUCUGUGGCGAAGGCCUGAGAGACCCUGGCAAACCACUGGUGUAAAGUCCAAGAGUCCAAAAGCUGAAGAACUUGGAGUCUGAUGUUCAAGGGCAGGAAGCAUCCAGCACAGGAGAAAGAUGAAGGCCAGAAGACUCAGCAAGUCUGCUCUUUCCAUCUUCUCCUGCCUGUUUAUUCUAGCUGCGCUGGCAGCUGAUUAGAUGGUGCCCACCCAGAUCGAGGGUGGGACUGCCUCUCCCAGUCCACUGACUGAAAUGUUAAUCUCCUUUGGUAACACAGACACACCCAGGAACAAUACUUUGCAUCCUUCAAUCCAAUCAAGUUGACACUCAAUAUUAACCAUCAAACUAUUCUAAGUAGUCGUAUGACAUGAUUAAAGUGGUAUUUUGGAAAGAUCACUUUGGUGGCAGCAGUAAUUAGAGGGAGAGAAACUGAAGUCCAGGAGACUACCUAGGGGUUAGCAUCAUUAUUUAACAAAUGUAUGAAUACCUUCAAUGUUGGCUUCUCAUAGUCAAGUCUGAAGAUAAUAGGGGACUGCUUUAGGGGAACAGAAAAAAUUAAAGAGGAAUGGAUGAAUUCAAGAGACACUUUCAAGGAAGAUUCAUUAGGGUUAGUGACUGGAUUGUGAUUGGGGCAAAGGAGAAAGAGGAGCAAAAGGUGCCUGGGGAUUUCAAGUGUGAGUUUUUGGGAGAAUCACCCAUUAUCAGCUCGAGGCAAGUCAGGGAUGGAAGCUCAGUUUUGGGGAGAGAGAUGAAUGGGAUGUAUUUGGACUGAGCUGUCAGAAAUCACUAUGUUUAGGAGCUAAGCAGAGAAGCCACUCAAAGCAAUAGGCAAAGAACAGCCAGGUUUGGGAAGACAGAAGCAAGAGCAUGCAGGCCCAGAGCAGAGGGGAAGAGAUUCAGAGAGGGUGGCUACGGUGCCAGGUGCCGUAGACAUCUCAGAGAGAGUAAGGCUUGGGAAAGGUGAUGGGCAUAUAGAGCGAGCAGUCAUGGUUGACUGAGCAUCCUUGAUGCCAGUGAAAUGGCAGAGGCAGAAUCCAGAUUAUAAAGGCAAUAAAGAAUAUUAACAGCCCUAAACUCAAUCUUUUGAUGAGAGGAGUGGCAAGGUUCUAGAAACACACAUGGAACCAGAAGUAUUGCUGAGGGCUUUUUGGGAAAAUACAACCUAAAACAAUAUUCAAAAUCCUUAAGCUCGUGUUCUAAUAUGUAAGAGGCUGAAAGACUACCUCCUAGGGUUGUAGGCUUAAGCCACAGGUUUCCCAGACUUUUUGGAUCAUGGUGCUCCUAGGCCAAAAAAAUAUGUAACUGUUCUGUUUAAGUGUUUAUAUAUAUAUAUAUAUAUAUAUAGUAUCUCCUAAUGAAUUAGUAGGUAUUUGAAAUAAUACUGAUAAAUGGAAAGAAAAAGUACUGUCUUUAUUUCUUUCACAAAUAACUACAACUCACAGGAUAUGUGAGCCAGUUGGGCCCUAUGCACCUUCUCAGAUCUUGGAAUCUGAUGGGCCACUACCACCUUCACCGCCCGUUCCACAUUGGUUUUCACACUGCACGUGCCUGUUAUCCCUGCAACCACCUCAAACUCAGCUUUGCAAGGAUAUGAUGUCCUUGAAAGGGAUGCAGCACAAUCUAAUGCUGAAACGGUGAGCAGCCUGGAGCUCAGAGCUGUAUGUUGCCCUGUGGGUGUUGGGUAUGGCUUCUACAUUUAAAAUACUCUUCAGGUUGGGCAUAGUGGCUCAUGCCUGUAAUCCCAGCACUUUGGGAGUCUGAGGUGAGUGGAUCACCUGAGAUCGGGAGUUCAAGACCAGCCUGGCCAACAUGGUGAACCCCAUCUCUACUAAAAAUACAAAAUUAGCUGGGCAUGGUGGUCCAUGCCUGUAUCCCGGCUACUUGGGAGGCUGAGGCAGGAGAAUCGCUUGAACCCAGGAGGUAGGGGUUGCAGUGGGCUGAGAUCGCACCACUGCACUCCAGCCUGGGCAACAAGGACGAAACUCUGUCUCAACAAAACAAAACAAAAUGGAAAAAAAACCAGCUCUUUAGUGCUCUUGUGAGUUUGCUGUGGGCCUCAGGGUACCUCAUCACACAGUUUGAGAAGUGUGGGUUUAAACAUAGUAGAUCCAGAAUGAGGGACUAUUUAAUGUGCCAAAGUGAUAGUUUCCUAACACAUACCAAACUUCCUAACAAGGUUAUUCAGAUUUCACAUGUCUAGGAUAUAUUGAACUUGGAUAAUUCAGAGUCGAGGGCAGUGAAGGUGAUUUGUCCAAAUUGAUGAAUUUUUAGGAACUGCCUUGGCUUUCAUAUAUAACAGGUAAGAGACAACAAUCUCCUCCCCUUAUCUCAGGGAAGGUGAGCUAUGAGUUAUAUACUGUCUUUAAGAAAUUGACAAUUGCCCUGAAAAAUGUCACACAUAGAGACUGAGGGAAAGAUAGGAGGGGAAAUGCGAUGCAUAUAUAGGUUGAGAAAAUUGCCCAAGCCAUGUAACAUGGGUAGAAAAAAACAGAGCAAUGUUUCAUUCCCAGCUUACCUCAAGAACCUUCCCACUAUCGCUGGGCAUGGUGGCUCACGCCUGUAAUCCCAACACAUAGGGAGGUAGACGCAGGUGGAUCACCUGAGGUCAAGAGUUCGAGACCAGCCUGGCCAACAUGGUGAAACCCCGUCUCUACUAAAAAUACAAAAAUUAGCUGGGCAUGGUGGCGCAUACCUGUGAUCCCAGCUACUUGGGAGGCUAAGGCAGGAGAAUCACUUGAACCCGGGAGGUGGAGGUUGCAGUGAGCCGAGAUUGCACCAUUGCACUCCAGCCCGGGUGACAGAGUAAGACUCUGUCUCAAAAAAAAAAAAAACAAAAACCUUCCUAGUAUCCUAGAGUGCUACCCAAUAUAAGAUGAAAUUUUACAUGAACUGGAAACAAUUAGGAUAAACCCACCCAACCUCCACAGCAAAGUAGUUUCUGCAACUCCCAAAGUUAAAUGAACCUAGAACAUUGACAUAUUUUCCAAAGCAAUUUCUUAUUUAGCUCAGAACUUUAUAUGUGACCUCAAUAAGGUCAUUUUAUGGCUCUUAGUUUCUUUAAAUAGAACACCAAAGUUGUAAAAAGGCGCAUUUUUUCUCUAAGGUUACUUAGCAAAUUGCAAAUGAAAGAGGAAAUAUACAUGCGACUAGAGAGUUCAUCACCUUACUGCACUAGAAAAUAUGGCCCAAUUUCUCUCUCUCUUUCUUGUUCAUAAUUCUCAGACAAGACAAUAGGAGUCAUGUGAUGUGACUGAGAAAUUGGGCCAGUUAAAAAUAGAAGGUGCACUUCACCAAGUUUGUUAGAAAGUGGAAGUUUCAUUGCUGAUUGCUGUUCAUUUAUCUCUGCCUGCCACAUCUGUGAGGGAGUGGGGCAAGAGACAAUUGCAGAUUCUGAGGGCUGGAGCCCCCACACCCCCCUCUUUCUAUUUCCUGGCCCGGCUAAACAGCAAUGCCCAGGAGCUCAACUGAGCCCCGUGCACUCUCUCUCUUGGUCCUCAGGGAACUCUCUUCUCUGGUUGGCAGCAGUUUUAGUUGGGAGAAAGCUCUAGCUGGCUCCUCGUUCCUCCCAAUGGGAGUGCUCAACGUCAGCUUUUCUAAAUGGGAAAUGAAGGUCUCCAGCCUCACGUAUGCAACAUAGUGUCUGUACUUUUGCCCUUGCAGAGUUCUGAAAGUCUUCACAAGCCUUGCCUGCAUAGCAGCUGGCAGGUGGGAGAGGAGAGAGGCCACACUGAGACCUGCCAGUUUCAUAAAUGGAACUGAGUCCUCCCCUCACCAGCUCAGAGUGAGCACCCACCAUGGGUCCAGCAAUGCCUGGGGCCCCAGAUCUAGAAAGCACGAUGAUAUACACUUGCAGGCCUUGCAGGGUUCCCAGGACAGAGGGUCCGAGGAAGGCCAGGCCAGGCCCAGAACUCCCAGACCUGAUUCCCUCUGAUGGUGGUCAAUAUUCUUCACAUUAGGGUUUGCAAAUUGUUUCAUUUAACCAGGUAUUCUCGCCUCCUCCCCACUUUUUUUUUUCCACUUUCAAUUUUUAUUUUAGAAUCAGGUGGUACAUGUGCAGAUUUGUUGCAAAGGUAUAUUGUGUGAGGCUGAAGUUUGGAGUACAAAUGAAUCCGUCACUCUGGUAGUUUUUUUGUUUUUUUGAGAUGGAGUCUUGCUCUGUCACCCAGGCUGGAGUGCAGUGGCGCGAUCUCGGCUCACUGCAAGCUCCGCCUCCCGGGUUCACGC